AUGUCAUGCUUUAAACUACCUCGUAGCCUAUGCGAGCAUCUGAAUUCGUUGAUACGGAAAUUUUGGUGGGGGACUAAAGAGGGCAAAAGAAAACCAAGUUGGGUUUCAUGGAGUAUGAUGACUAGACCAAAGCAAUGUGGUGGACUUGGCUUUAGGGAUAUUGAGUUGUUCAAUCUCUCACUUUUAGCCAGACAAGCAUGGUGAAUCCUUAUGGAGCAAAACUCUCUAAGUGCUCGGAUUGUCAAAGCUAAGUAUUUUCUUGCAUCUGGAAUUUUGCAUGCUGAACUGGGUUGAUGUCCUUUCCAGGUCUGGAGGUCAAUCCUAGAUGGUCACGAUACUUUAGUGUAAGGAUUAAUUCGACACAUUGGUGAUGGUCUGACGACCAACAUCUGGCAGCAUAAUUGGCUACCACACUACUGGAAUCAGCUACUUUGCCAUCUGCCAGUUCUUUGUCGUCCGCUAGCGGACGGCAAAGAAGCUCUUUGCCAUCAGCUUCCAAAAAGUGGACGGCAAAGAACUGGCUGA
Molecule: ribosomal RNA, 525 nt
Filed under: Triticum aestivum (bread wheat)
Lineage: Eukaryota; Viridiplantae; Streptophyta; Magnoliopsida; Poales; Poaceae
Description: partial small subunit ribosomal RNA
Source: RNAcentral